GCUCAGUCCCUACGGCCGUCCACCCCUCCACACACUUUCCAUGCCAAACACCAGCCCUAGCUUAUUUUAUCUCUGCUUCACCCAGACCAGCUCUAAAACAAUGUCCCUCUGCCUCCUCCUCCCUUGCCCGAGCCGCGCAUGGAGCUUAAAAUGCUCCGUACACGUACAUACCCGUGCUGCUGGCUCUGAAGGACAUGGGUGGAGACCGAGGCGGGAAGAGGGAGGCACAGGGCGGGGAGAAGCCGCCUGUAGCUUCUCCCAGGCCUCGUUCAGGGCCACCCCCCCAGGGACCUCUGCUAUCUGCUACAUGGAAGCUCGCUCAACUUGCACGUUUGUUUGCGUGGGGCUGCAUACCACAGAUGUGAGUGAAGAGGGGACGAUUAUGUAGCAGUGUGACUGCAGGGCAGGCACUAGACUAAUACUAGUGGACUGGGAGAAGUCACUCUCCAGCGUUUCUUCUUUGCGGAUACGGUGAAGACCCUGUCUGAAAUAAGGUCUUAUCAUCUACCAACAGACAUGGUAAGUCAAGGUGAGGAAAUGGAGACCCAGAUUAUCUUCAAAGUGGUAAAACUAACGGAAGCUAAAACCAGAAUUUGAACUUAACGAUUUAGCUCCGGAUUCCACACCUUGAGAGACAGCAAGGUCUUCGCCCUAGGCAGUGUUGCUUUUCUGAAGCCCACGUGGUGCACCCGGGAAAAAGCCAACCUGCUUUCUGUGCAGCGUCCUGUGGCGGAAUCUCUCUCCCUCCCCUCUGUGGUCACCGACCACCCUGGGGCCCAGGCUUGAGCUCCAGCACCGAGACCAGAAUUGCCCCGGUGUCCCAUCUCCUCUCCCUCAGUUUGGACGGAAGCUUGGGGAAGCCUGUCCUAGUCCUCUACAGGGACUGAAGGCAUUGCUAACUGUCCUCAAAACAGGAAAGAAAAAUUAAGGAAGGGCUGCAGACUGACUGAAACCUGACCACUGGGAGAAACGUUCUGAGAGAAAAGCUGUUUUUCUCCAAGAGGGACUGGAUGGUUUUACUUUCAAUUAGAGUAACUUUCUCCUCUUAGCUUGGAGAAGGAAGGUGGAGCAGGAGGGAGGAUGGAGCCAGAGAAACAGAAAACAAGAAACCUAAAACACAAAUGGGGUUUCGAAAGAGGAGCAGCAUGUGAGACACACAAAAGGGGAUGUGGAGCGCGUUGCAGGCGGGCUGCUACCCUGAGCAGGAGCCAGGUAGCCAGCAGGGGUGUGGGGUGCACGCCUCCCUCACACCACAAGUGUGUUGAGUGCAUGGGGAGGCCACAUCGGGUGGGGAAGGAGAGGAACAGCGCAGCAGGCUACAAACAUGUUUUGGGGCUGGGGAAGUAUGAAUUCCAAGUCUGGCUCCUCUACUUACUUUGUAAAUUGAGCAAAUGCUAUUGGAAUUUCUAAACUUUAAGUUCUUCCACAUUUACAUGUUAAAAAUUAACUGCCCCAUGGAACAAUUCUAAGUAAUGUAUUCAUGUAUUAUAUUAGACAUCAUAGUAAGUAAUAUUGAAAGCAAAGGGAGAUUAUUACAUCCCCAGAACAUUCAAAGUGCUUCAUCCACCAGCUCUAUUUCAUACAACAAUUACACAAGGACCUAAGCUGAAGAGCAGAAUAUGCAGUCCUUACCACCGCACCUAAUGUGGAAGAGGAACUCCGUAAACAAGAAUAGUUACUGCUUAAAAUAUCACCUGUUUAUUUUACACUGUGGGGAAAUAAAGUUUCUUAAAUAGUGAUCUGAUUGCUCGAACUGUCUGGAAAAAGAAUGUAGCUGCCAAAAAAAUAUUUGUAUAGAAAGAAAAUAGCUUAAUUAACAAAUCAAAUAAUUAUAUUCUCACUAAAACUCAUAUUGAACUGCAGUAUGUUUUGACACAAAUUUGUCUAGAUUUUUUCAGAGAGAGAGAGAGACAGACACAGAGAGAAAGAGAUUCAAUUGCUCUUCAAAAUAGUAAGAUCACUGAACAACAGAAUUUUCUUCUCUUAGAUUUAUAAUUUGCCCUCUAAGUUAAGGAAGGACAAUAUGUUUUUAAUCUUGAUCUCAAUAAAAUGUAGAACCAUUAAGUGUGAACAGUGUAUUGAGCAAAUAGUUGCCUAGAUAUAUAAAAUUAGGAUGUAAAAAUAAAUCUUUUAUAGUUAAAAAAAUUUUUUGUUGUUGUUUUUUUGUUUUGGUACUGGGGAUCAAACUUGGGACCUUGUGCUUGUGAGGCAAGGCAGCAGCAACACUGAGCUAAGUUUCCAGCCCUUUAUAAAAAUUUUUAACAACAAAAACUAGGCAAAAUUCUUGAAAUUGUUCACAGAGCUUCUUUUUGUUGUUGUUUUUAUAUGAUGCACUAAAAAACUUAAACAAAGCCGUGGAUUUUUAAUUGUAUUUACUUCACUUUCUAAUUUUAUGUCUUCAUAGUUGUUCAGAAAUUUUCUGAAGUACAAAAUUAUCCCAAAUUCUGAUACCUUCAUAAGUCUUAUGCCUGCUUGUCAUGUGUCUUCCUUUCAUAUUCAGUUUCAGGUAUUUUACUCCAAGGUUUACUUGUGAGUUCUAGAAAUCAUCCAGAAAUCUUAGGGUUGUGUUUGGCCCUUCAGCUCCAUUUGGAAGCACUGUCCUCUGCCUGGUGAAAAUAUUUGUCAUGCUG
Molecule: long non-coding RNA, 2630 nt
Filed under: Heterocephalus glaber (naked mole-rat)
Lineage: Eukaryota; Metazoa; Chordata; Mammalia; Rodentia; Bathyergidae
Description: lncRNA (ENSHGLG00100038733.1)
Source: RNAcentral